Molecule: ribosomal RNA, 468 nt
Filed under: uncultured bacterium
Lineage: Bacteria
Description: partial 16S ribosomal RNA
Rfam family: Bacterial small subunit ribosomal RNA
Source: RNAcentral
GACGAACGCUGGCGGCGUGCUUAACACAUGCAAGUCGAACGGAAAGGCCCUGCUUUUGUGGGGUGCUCGAGUGGCGAACGGGUGAGUAACCCGUGAGUAACCUGACCUUGACUUUGGGAUAACUUUAGGAAACUGGGGCUAAUAUCGGAUAGGAGUUCCUGCUGCAUGGUGGGGGUUGGAAAGUUUCGGCGGUUGGGGAUGGACUCGCGGCUUAUCAGCUUGUUGGUGGGGUAGUGGCUUACCAAGGCUUUGGCGGGUAGCCGGCCUGAGAGGGUGACCGGCCACAUUGGGACUGAGAUACGGCCCAGACUCCUACGGGAGGCAGCAGUGGGGAAUAUUGCACAAUGGGCGGAAGCCUGAUGCAGCAACGCCGCGUGCGGGAUGACGGCCUUCGGGUUGUAAACCGCUUUCGCCUGUGACGAAGCGUGAGUGACGGUAAUGGGUAAAGAAGCACCGGCUAACUACGUG